UUACUUAUCAGUUUAGAUGUUUGGAGUGUUUGAUGUUAGCCACUCUCUCAGUUUUGGUUCACUUUAUUCUAAUAUAUGAAUUAUUUUGUUUCUGUUUUUUGAGGUUUGGUCGUGACAAGGGCAGACUUUCCCGGAAGAUCAGAAAGAUCUGUACAAACAAAUUUGAUGAUCCUUUCUACAGUUGGAGUGUUGUUCCUACGGAUGAUGACAAUGAGCUCUUCCUUAAGUCCACUUUCACGAGUAAAAGAGGCAGACCCUAUGGAUUAGGCAGUCUGGAGGAUACUCUUGUGAAUGGGAAGCGGAAGUAUGCUGAAUGCUCAUCUUCAGCAUUCUUGGACCUCCAACAACAGCUGGCUGUGAAGCUCACCGCAAGAUCCAGAAGCAGGCAGCUUACAACUCCAAGCUAAAAAGGCAGCAAAACAAGCAGGCAAAACACUUUUCUAUAAUGGAAAAGUUUUUGUCUGCUAAUAAUCCUAUGUAUGUGGAAUUCAAAGCUUCUAAU
Long non-coding RNA from Brassica oleracea var. oleracea, 502 nucleotides. RefSeq lists it as uncharacterized. NCBI's taxonomy places the organism in Eukaryota, Viridiplantae, Streptophyta, Magnoliopsida, Brassicales, Brassicaceae. The transcript has 2 exons. The record is from RefSeq and is a predicted model, not a curated record.